This 423-nucleotide ribosomal RNA is filed under the name uncultured bacterium. RNAcentral describes it as "bacterial SSU rRNA". It matches the Rfam family "Bacterial small subunit ribosomal RNA", at positions 207 to 622 of the family's 1533-position model. The record is from RNAcentral.
AAGACCUUGCACUUUUGGAGCGGCCGAUGUCUGAUUAGCUAGUUGGUGGGGUAAUGGCCUACCAAAGCUUCGAUCAGUAGCUGGUCUGAGAGGGCGGCCAGCCACACUGGGACUGAGACACGGCCCAGACUCCUACGGGAGGCAGCAGUGGGGAAUUUUGGACAAUGGGCGCAAGCCUGAUCCAGCCAUGCCGCGUGAGUGAAGAAGGCCUUCGGGUUGUAAAGCUCUUUCAGUCGGGAAGAAAAGGUUGAGACCAAUAAUCUUAACUCAUGACGGUACCGACAGAAGAAGCACCGGCUAACUACGUGCCAGCAGCCGCGGUAAUACGUAGGGUGCGAGCGUUAAUCGGAAUUACUGGGCGUAAAGGGUGCGCAGGCGGUUUUGUAAGUCAGAUGUGAAAUCCCCGGGCUUAACCUGGGAACU